CAGCCUUCUAUCCUCGGCCGGUGGAGAGAGCGCCUCGGCCGGCAUGCGUUUAAUCGUUUGUGGAGCUGCUGUUCUCUAUCCAAGGCAACGAAUACACCCAGAUACAUAUCAUAGUCUGAACGUCAAAAUGUUUUAUUUUGAUUCUUCUUUUAAAAUAGUGUAUUUAUUUUGAGCAAAUAAAGAGUUUAUAUCGUAAACCGUAUAAGCGAUUAAGUUUUACUUUAACGCGGAGACCUAUAAAAACGAUGAGUUCACAAUAAAUAUUUUGAUGUAAAUCCAUGGGGUUUUUGUUUUGUUUUUUUUGUUUUUUACUUUUUUGUUGGAUGAACGCUUUCACAUCAAAUAGGAAAAUGUACGGAACGCUUCGAUUACGCAGCUCAUCCAAACCUAAUGUAUUAUAUAUUGAAAAAUAUUUCAUAAUUUAUGUUUCUGAAUUGCUAUUGACAGACUGAUUUAAAACUAUUAGGCUGUCCCAAACGCUGUGGUGUAGGGGCGCGCAGCGGUAUCCGUUCGGCAUCGCGCCUUAGAUUUUUAUUCGAGAAGACGGGUACUUGUUGUGAAGUUUCAAACAUUGUAUUAUUGAGAAUUGCUUUACGGGAAAGGACAGCAGCUAAUAAACCGGACAUUGCCGCUUUAAAUGCUGCCCCGGGUCAUUCGAAAAGCACCAGACCCAGAUGCCUGGCUGAAGCAGGGAGAAAAGAAAACAUCUGAGUGAAUCAGACAAAACUCAAGCGGGAAUGCGGUAUCAGGUGGGGGCGCUAAAAUGUGUCUUUGGGGACUGAAGAAGGUACUCGUUGCCCGAGCCAGCGUUGACAAUCAUAAUCGUGCCGGAGAGAGCGAUGAAGCCCUAGACAGGAAGUUGUCAAAUGAAGGAUGCUGUCCUCCUCCCAUCAAAAACUAGAGUGGGCGGUGCCCCUGCAGCGACCAAGCUGACCAGUUUUAGGGAGAACGUGUGCAUGCAGGCACAGAGGACCGACAUCCCUUUCUAAAAGGAGAGCCCUCCCCAGUGCCCUCAUUCACAGCCAGAGGAGGCGAAGCGAGGCUCAUAACAGUGAUGUUCGCUAACCCUCUUUCUUUUAUUGCCGCGCAGUAGAGAUCUGUUAGCGUCUAUCCGCCUGGCUCUGCGAUGUCUACGCUUCUCACACAGGAGGUCUUCCGGCCACACUGGAGCACACACACACACACACGAGCUUAAAACAAAAGCUCCUUUUAGCAGUGCUCUCUGUCUUAAGGGUCACAUGACUAGCAUCGCCCCCGCGGCGGUACAGGAAGGUUUGGGAGGGCGUUGGCAAACUGCAUUGUAACGGAACCAUUGACCCGGGGUCAUUUUCCAUAAAAUGAAUUUGCUGGAAGUGGUGGGGUGAGGAUCACGUUGGGUUGAGAUAGAUGAAUGCUUAGAAGCACCUCUCAAAGAUGGCAGUACAGGAGGGGGGCGUGGUUUACGGAAAAAGCGGCAGAGUUUGAGGAUACAGCUCAGAGGGAAGAAUUAAUGAGCAGACCUGUAGCCGCUUCUCAAUUUUAGAACUGAGGGGGGAGAGAGUUUCUUCCUUACAGAUACUGUAUCUGUACACUCGUCCCAUUGUCAAAAUGCCCCUUGUCAGUUUAGGAGGCAUAAACUAGUGUGUGUGUCCUCCAAAACAUGCACUCAGCAAACUGCUCCUUGUCUUUCCGACCUGCCAGCCCGUGCCACCAAAACUACUGCAACAGAAAGGCGAGUCAGUUUGACUGCGAUUAGUUGGCUGGAGGAACUGCUGUGGAGCGGUGAGUUCGGGGUAACCUUGCAGAAUUAAUCCGUCCACCCCCGAGUAAUGCCAUAAACACCCGUCCAUCGCCACACCAGCAGCCCGGGCUGUUUGGACUACAAUCAGUUUUUCCUCUUUUAAUCACUAUACAGAGUAGUUAUUAGUGUUUGUUAUUAAAUGACUUCUGAAGGCUUC
This is a long non-coding RNA of Anguilla anguilla (European eel), 1937 nucleotides long. RefSeq lists it as uncharacterized. The transcript is spliced from 3 exons. The record is from RefSeq and is a predicted model, not a curated record. NCBI's taxonomy places the organism in Eukaryota, Metazoa, Chordata, Actinopteri, Anguilliformes, Anguillidae.